AGCAGCCGCGGUAAUUCCAGCUCCAAUAGCGUAUAUUAAAGUUGUUGCAGUUAAAAAGCUCGUAGUUGAAUUUCGGGAUCAAUAUGUCGGUCGUGCCUUCGGUACGUACUGGUAUCAUUGGUUUCUCCUUUCUGACGAACCAUGAUGUCAUUAAUUUGGUGUUAUGGGGAGUUAGGACUGUUACUUUGAAAAAAUUAGAGUGUUUAAAGCAGGCUUUAGCUUGAAUACAUUAGCAUGGAAUAAUGAAAUAGGACGUUCGAACCUAUUUUGUUGGUUUCUAGGAUCAACGUAAUGAUUAAUAGGGAUAGUUGGGGGCAUUAGUAUUCAAUUGUCAGAGGUGAAAUUCUUGGAUUUAUUGAAGACUAACUACUGCGAAAGCAUUUGCCAAGGAUGUUUUCAUUAAUCAAGAACGAAAGUUAGGGGAUCGAAGACGAUCAGAUACCGUCGUAG
RNAcentral lists this ribosomal RNA (450 nucleotides) under uncultured Glomus. RNAcentral describes it as "SSU rRNA". It matches the Rfam family "Eukaryotic small subunit ribosomal RNA", at positions 569 to 1023 of the family's 1831-position model. The record is from RNAcentral. Lineage: Eukaryota; Fungi; Glomeromycota; Glomeromycetes; Glomerales; Glomeraceae.